UACGAAGGGGGCUAGCGUUGUUCGGAAUUACUGGGCGUAAAGCGCGCGCAGGCGGCUAUCCAAGCCAGUGGUGAAAGCCCGGAGCUCAACUCCGGAACUGCCAUUGAAACUGUUUAGCUUGAGGAUGAGAGAGGUGAGUGGAAUUCCCAGUGUAGAGGUGAAAUUCGUAGAUAUUGGGAAGAACACCGGUGGCGAAGGCGGCUCACUGGCUCAUUACUGACGCUCAGGCGCGAUAGCGUGGGGAUCAAACAGG
RNAcentral lists this ribosomal RNA (253 nucleotides) under uncultured bacterium. Its description in RNAcentral is "partial 16S ribosomal RNA". It matches the Rfam family "Bacterial small subunit ribosomal RNA", at positions 524 to 776 of the family's 1533-position model. The record is from RNAcentral.